GACGAACGCUGGCGGCGUGCUUAACACAUGCCAGUCGAACGGAAAGGCCCUGCUUUUGUGGGGUGCUCGAGUGGCGAACGGGUGAGUAACACGUGAGUAACCUGCCCUUGACUUUGGGAUAACUUCAGGAAACUGGGGCUAAUACCGGAUAGGAGCUCCUGCUGCAUGGUGGGGGUUGGAAAGUUUCGGCGGUUGGGGAUGGACUCGCGGCUUAUCAGCUUGUUGGUGGGGGAGUGGCUUACCAAGGCUUUGACGGGUAGCCGGCCUGAGAGGGUGACCGGCAACAUUGGGACUGAGAUACGGCCCGGACUCCUACGGGAGGCAGCAGUGGGGAAUAUUGCACAAUGGGCGGAAGCCUGAUGCAGCAACGCCGCGUGCGGGAUGACGGCCUUCGGGUUGUAAACCGCUUUCGCCUGUGACGAAGCGUGAGUGACGGUAAUGGGUAAAGAAGCACCGGCUAACUACGUG
RNAcentral lists this ribosomal RNA (468 nucleotides) under uncultured bacterium. RNAcentral describes it as "partial 16S ribosomal RNA". It matches the Rfam family "Bacterial small subunit ribosomal RNA", at positions 28 to 507 of the family's 1533-position model. The record is from RNAcentral.